UUCACUUAUCUGAUCACUGGAGCAAAGAUUCAAGAGGAAAUUCAUCUGCUGCACAUAAAUGACCAUCAAGAUGUGCAUAAAUCUUCAGUGACUGGAAAUAAGUGCUCUUCCUGUAAUUUCUGAAGCAACGAUUUAUUUGGAGACAUUUUUCCCAUGACAGUCAAUGACUGCUUUGUUGCUAAUUCUUCUUUCCUCUUUACAGAAAAAUGAAGGAUGAAAUGAGAUAUUAAAGACAGAAAAGUAACACAUGUAAUGAAAUAUCUGUUCUGUAAUCUCCUAUUGGAGUGGGAAGGAGCAAAGCUUCUACCUUUGGCAAGAGAAGUACAAAACACAGCAUAUAACUUUUAUUCCAAGGAUUUUGUAGAUAUGGAGAACACAGGGAAUGCUUUGAUAUAUUUACUACACAAAUGAUGAUGCUUGUACUAAUCUGUAUUUGCCAGCCAGUUCUUCCAUGUGUAUGUUCCUUAAGUAGCUGCAGUUAAGUCUCCAGUCCCAGACUGCUGUGAUUAGAUCUGUGGAGACCAUGGCUGUCUUUGGUCAGGCUGCAGAAACAGGGAUUCAGGACAAGUAUGAAACUAAUAUCUGAUUAAUAAAUGAACUCAUAGUUCCCCUGCAAAUAUUAUACAUACUACACAGUAGCUGUAGAAAUAGUUACGUAAUGAGUUACCAAAAAAAAAAAAAAAGUAAGAGAAGAAACAAACAAACAAACAAAAAAACCAAAUAAACAAACCAAGAAACUCAGUAACUCAGUCUGGGAGAUGUGCUAAAUUUAUGUUUUUCUUUAAACAUGGCUUACAAGAAGGGACAAGUUCCAGAUUCCUUUGUACUGGAAAAAAGAAUAAAAAUAGGAUCUGUAUUAAAACUAGAGUGAGGGCUAGGCCAGUGAAAAUAACUUCACACAUCAUCUUUUAAAAAAUUUUCUUGCAGUUUUACACUAAUAAUGAGGGACUUUUUCACACUGGUUAGGACACUAGGCACAUCACAUUGCUGAGAACUCCAAGUGACACCCACUGAGUCACUUCUGAGUUGAUGUUGGCAUGAGCUUACCACUGCUGCAUUGACCAGUUCUGCUGACCAGGAAAGGGAGUAGGACAGGAAAUGUAGACAUUUACUGAUGAAUUUAUAAAUGCCAGUUCUUAUUCCAAUGAUGGUGUUUGUAACUGCAGAGUAAAGAGAUUGCAGAAUUUUGUUGGGUAAACACAAAGUAGAUUUCCAAACAGAUAAUAUACCUGUCUCGAGCAAGGGAUGCUGCUCCUAUGACAUCUAAGAUCAAGAUCCCAACAGAUUGCUCAGGCCUCUGACUUAGUUACCUGAACAUUUUUAUGCAGUCCAGAAGAAUAAUGACUAUGAUUUGGCUUGGUUCAUCCACCACUUCUACAGCUUUAUCUCAUCUUUACCAGUAUGCAGAUCCAUUUGUCCACCAGCUGAAAGCACUGUACAACAACAGAAUGGAAGUUCUAGGUCAAAGAAAUGCACUGCAAAGUCACUCCAGAGAAAAACAUCUGCUCCAGGUAAAGAUACACAGUAAUAAUUCCAGAUCCUCACAGUCUGCUGGACAAAGUUACUUGCUAGACUGCCACAGAUAUUCCUAUCUUGAACCUAACAGUUUCUCCAAUUGCAAUUUUAUUCUACUCUAAGUUAAUAUUCUACAAAAAGCCUAUUCUUACACUUCCUCCUAGGUCAUGCUGCUCCUAGGUCAAGAACCAACAUGAGAGCUAUUCGUCAGUCACUACUUUUUUCAUAUGUUGAAGUUUGUUAUCACUUUAGAGAUGCAUAGGUGGGAUAAAAAUGGUCCUGAUAUGAGUGAAAACUAUGAGGUCAAUGCAGCAAGCAAGAAAAUUCAACAUCUGUACUUACUGUGCUUACAUUGUCAUUUCUGAGGAUGAUACAACUUUCAACAAAGCAGGCAAUGGAGACACAGUGGGGCAUUUGAAUGGGGUCACCCCAGAGUGUCUGGAGUGCAUACAUGCUUAUGUGCAUAUGUAUGUGUUGUGGGGAAAGGGAAGGAGUUAGAUAAAACACUCGUAAGUAAUACAAGCAGCUACAACAAUUUCUGCAGAACUCAGAUCAGGUGAAUUUCACCUCCUUUAUCUGAACAUAUGCACACCACUAUUAAUUUUCUUAUUAGUCCUCCAACUUGUUCAUGUUCUCUUUGACAUUUACCAUUUUGUCUGUAUGCAGACAAGACUCAUAAAAUGUGCAUUUAUAGACUCUGAAUAGCUGAGUGCAUUUCUUUGCUAUGCAGCUUUCCCUCUAAUGUAUACAAUUGCAGGGAACUAAUUUUUUUUUUUUUU
Gallus gallus (chicken) is the source of this 2294-nucleotide long non-coding RNA. NCBI's taxonomy places the organism in Eukaryota, Metazoa, Chordata, Aves, Galliformes, Phasianidae. The record is from Ensembl.